Small nuclear RNA from Dermacentor andersoni, 183 nucleotides. RefSeq annotates it as U2 spliceosomal RNA. Lineage: Eukaryota; Metazoa; Arthropoda; Arachnida; Ixodida; Ixodidae. The record is from RefSeq and is a predicted model, not a curated record.
AUGACCGACGCGGGUUAAAGUGUAGUAGUAUCUCUUCUUACCAGCUUAAUAUCUGAUACGCGUUGUAUUUGGAUCUAAGAUAUUAAACUUAUUUUUGCAAGUUGGCGGAGUGCUUAAAGCCUGCAUUGACUCCGCAGUGGAUCGGCCCGGUAUUGUACUAUCUUCGGGGUCGGCCCACGUAUG